Molecule: ribosomal RNA, 253 nt
Filed under: uncultured bacterium
Lineage: Bacteria
Description: partial 16S ribosomal RNA
Rfam family: Bacterial small subunit ribosomal RNA
Source: RNAcentral
UACGUAGGGUGCGAGCGUUCAUCGGAAUCACUGGGCGUAAAGGGCGCGUAGGCGGCUUUGUAAGUCGGGGGUGAAAGCCUGUGGCUCAACCACAGAAUUGCCUUCGAUACUGCAUGGCUUGAGACCGGAAGAGGUAAGUGGAACUGCGAGUGUAGAGGUGAAAUUCGUAGAUAUUCGCAAGAACACCAGUGGCGAAGGCGGCUUACUGGUCCGGUUCUGACGCUGAGGCGCGAAAGCGUGGGGAGCAAACAGG